GUCAAUAAUUUUGCUGCUAAGGUUUCCACUACUGUUGAAAGGAAAAAAGGUCCUCAUGCUUUCUGUCUGUCUGGUUGUGGCAGCCAAGAUUGAAUGGGGGUAUGGAAAU
This 109-nucleotide small nucleolar RNA is filed under the name Dasypus novemcinctus (nine-banded armadillo). Its description in RNAcentral is "Small nucleolar RNA SNORA31 (ENSDNOG00000029691.1)". Lineage: Eukaryota; Metazoa; Chordata; Mammalia; Cingulata; Dasypodidae. The record is from RNAcentral.